GUCGCCGAGGCUCGGGCCAGCCCGGCGGAUCGUGGAGAGGAGGAGCUGGCAGGGCUGAGUUGGCAGCGGGGCAAAGAGGGCUCACUUACUGGCGGCCGCGAGGGCGCGGGUGGGCCGGAGCUCAAUGGGACGACCCCAGGGCAGCGGCGGCUGAGCGGGAGCCGGAGCCGGAGCGGCGCGGGCGGCGGCGCAUCGAUGCGCUGCGGGCUCGAUUGCGUCUCCCUGGGCCAGCUCUUGGGCCGGGAAUGGGGCGGCAGCGGCGGGGCUGGCUCCGGGCGCUGCCGGGCGGCGGUGGCGGGAGUGCGGGGGCGGCCGCCAGACCCACGGACCCUUAGGCGGUGCUGCUUCUGGGCGCGCUGCUGGGGCCCUGGGAGUACCCUGUGAGCCGCGUGCGAGAGUCCGGGCGAGGGCCGAAGCCCCGCGCCCUGGGACUGACUGCCUGAGCGCUCUGGGAGCUGCAAACCCCGGCCUUCUCCCGUCUUUCCCUACCACCCCCCCCCCCCUUAUGUUUCUUUUUUAGUCUCUUUCCUCUCUUCUUCUGCCCCCUCUUCUCUUUAUUUUUUCCUUGUGAUUGUUUUUUGCAAGUUUGUUUUAAAAGUUCACAGGCAUACUUUCUUUUCUUUUAGACCAGGAGACCUCGAUCUCACCCUGACGGUAAGAUCAAAAGUCUCCGCUCGCCCCCAGCCUGCGGGCUUGGGCUCGGUCCAGACGCCUCCCUGAAUGCAGAUGUGCUGCCGCCGUCCUCCGGGGCUAUAAAGCCGCCUCCUGCGCCUUGGCGUGCGCAGGAGCGCACGGAGUUGCGGGAUGCGGACCCUGGGCGGUUGCGGGGAGUUGGAGUCUAGCUGCAGCUGGGCCCCGGGCUGGCCUCGUGCGUGGGGCGGGCGCGUGGCGCGGAGUUGGUGCCUGCGGCCGCAGAGGCCAGAGCAACUGCCCCUCCAGGCCCGGGAGACGCGGCCGUGGGGCGUGAAACGCUUCUUGCGAAGGAGAAAACGGGUGAUUUCCCAAGCUUUGUGUAGGGAUAAGAAAGGAAUAGCCCAGGAAGCAGACAUAAAGAGACAGAAGGAAGCAGAAUACCAAGGCUUCUACUUGUUCCUGUGUGCUGGAUACAGAACUUAGGCCUUGGCUGAAAGUGACGUGAAAGUGUUAAUUGAUCAGCUGUGUCUGACUCCCCGCGAUCCCAUGACUGUAGCCUGCCAGGCUCUUCUGUCCGUGGAAUUCUUCAGGCAAGAAUACUGGACUGGGUUGCCAUUUCUUUCUUCAGGAAAUCUUCCCAACCCACGGAUUGAACCUGGGUCUCCCACAUUGCAGGCAGAUUUUUACUGUCUGAGCCACCUGUUUCGAAUUUGAGAGGGUCUCAAAUGCCAAGGGGGGCUAUGCAAUCUUUUCAGGAGGAUCUAAAUUUAAUGUUUACAAAACCAUGAGCACUCAGAUGUGCUAAAGACACGUUUCAGCCCAUUUGUGGAAAACAGAAUAAACUUCUAAAUCUCCUUCUGCA
RNAcentral lists this long non-coding RNA (1495 nucleotides) under Bos indicus x Bos taurus (hybrid cattle). Its description in RNAcentral is "lncRNA (ENSBIXG00005004782.1)". Lineage: Eukaryota; Metazoa; Chordata; Mammalia; Artiodactyla; Bovidae. The record is from RNAcentral.